AGUGAACGCUGGCGGCAGGCCUAACACAUGCAAGUCGAGCGGCAGCGCGGGGGCAACCCUGGCGGCGAGCGGCGGACGGGUGAGGAAUUCGUCGGAAUCUGCCUUUUUGUGGGGGAUAACGUAGGGAAACUUACGCUAAUACCGCAUACGUCCUACGGGAGAAAGUGGGGGACCGCAAGGCCUCACGCAGAAAGAUGAGCCGACGACCGAUUAGCUAGUUGGUGGGGUAAAGGCCCACCAAGGCGGCGAUCGGUAGCUGGUCUGAGAGGAUGAUCAGCCACACUGGGACUGAGACACGGCCCAGACUCCUACGGGAGGCAGCAGUGGGGAAUAUUGGACAAUGGGCGCAAGCCUGAUCCAGCCAUGCCGCGUGUGUGAAGAAGGCCUUCGGGUUGUAAAGCACUUUUGUCCGGAAAGAAAUCCCUGGAGCUAAUACCUUCGGGGGAUGACGGUACCGGAAGAAUAAGCACCGGCUAACUUCGUG
This 484-nucleotide ribosomal RNA is filed under the name uncultured bacterium. RNAcentral describes it as "partial 16S ribosomal RNA". It matches the Rfam family "Bacterial small subunit ribosomal RNA", at positions 29 to 507 of the family's 1533-position model. The record is from RNAcentral.